RNAcentral lists this long non-coding RNA (394 nucleotides) under Rattus norvegicus (Norway rat). RNAcentral describes it as "long non-coding RNA NONRATT029451". The record is from RNAcentral. Lineage: Eukaryota; Metazoa; Chordata; Mammalia; Rodentia; Muridae.
AAAAUCGUGAACAAUAUGAAAAAUCAGUCAUUGGACAACUGAACAUUUUUGGCAACAAUGACAGUGCUUCAAGAACAAAGGCACCACCUCCCACCCGUGGGAAAGCAGGGCUAAAGGCAGUAAAUCCAACAAGAGCAAACAGCCCUGAAGGAGAGGAGUCACCUUCCCCGCAGCAAAGCAAGAGUCCCCGAGUUCCAAGAUUAGGAAGAAAACCUUCCUCUCCCUCACUCUCCCCUCUCAUGGGGUUUGGCAGCAAGAAAAAUGCAAAAAAAAUUAAGAUUGACCUUAAGAAAGGCCCCGAAGGACUUGGUUUCACUGUGGUAACUAGAGAUUCUUCUAUACAUGGUCCUGGUCCCAUUUUUGUAAAAAAUAUCCUACCAAAGGGAGCAGCAGU